AUCGGUUUUUCCAGCCAGCGUUUGGCCGACUGCGCCGCACGAAGGGAGAAGGAAGGGGGCAGGAAAACAGGGGGCGGCGGCGGAACGGAAAGCAGAGGUCUCUGGCUGCUGCUGUUGCUGACUGCAGCGAUGAAUUCGAGGCCGAUCGUGCUCGUCUUCCUCCUGCUCGUGCUCAUCAUAUCAUCGCAGUUCGAGUGGAAGCAGCAGAUCGGCGAGGCCGAGGCGAGCCCGGAAGCUACGCGGCGGAGGCAGCAACCGCAGGUUGUAAGGGAAGAUGCCGUUAAAGAGAAAAUAAUACUGGCGCAGGAAAAGAACAUCCAACAACUCACCGAGCUCAUCCAGAGCCUCCAGGUGCAGCUACUGCAUUGCCGUGGCAGCAACAGCACUGCUCAUGGCGCCUCCUCGAAUCAGUCUUCAGCCAGUUACGCCGAAGCGGACAGACAUCAGAUAAUCGAUGACUGA
RNAcentral lists this ribosomal RNA (462 nucleotides) under Triticum aestivum (bread wheat). RNAcentral's name for it is "partial small subunit ribosomal RNA". The record is from RNAcentral. Lineage: Eukaryota; Viridiplantae; Streptophyta; Magnoliopsida; Poales; Poaceae.